CCUACGGGAGGCAGCAGUGAGGAAUAUUGGUCAAUGGACGAGAGUCUGAACCAGCCAAGUAGCGUGAAGGAUGACUGCCCUAUGGGUUGUAAACUUCUUUUAUAUGGGAAUAAAAUGUUCCACGUGUGGGAUUUUGUAUGUACCAUAUGAAUAAGAAUCGGCUAACUCCGUGCCAGCAGCCGCGGUAAUACGGAGGAUCCGAGCGUUAUCCGGAUUUUUUGGGUUUAAAGGGAGCGUAGGUGGAUUGUUAAGUCAGUUGUGAAAGUUUGCGGCUCAACCGUAAAAUUGCAGUUGAAACUGGCAUUCUUGAGUACAGUAGAGGUGGGCGGAAUUCGUGGUGUAGCGGUGAAAUGCUUAGAUAUCACGAAGAACUCCGAUUGCGAAGGCAGCUCACUGGACUGCAACUGACACUGAGGCUCGAAAGUGUGGGUAUCAAACAGGAUUAGAUACCCCAGUAGUC
This 460-nucleotide ribosomal RNA is filed under the name uncultured bacterium. RNAcentral describes it as "partial 16S ribosomal RNA". It matches the Rfam family "Bacterial small subunit ribosomal RNA", at positions 338 to 795 of the family's 1533-position model. The record is from RNAcentral.